Molecule: ribosomal RNA, 223 nt
Filed under: uncultured bacterium
Lineage: Bacteria
Description: partial 16S ribosomal RNA
Rfam family: Bacterial small subunit ribosomal RNA
Source: RNAcentral
ACUCCUACGGGAGGCAGCAGUGGGGAAUAUUGCACAAUGGGCGCAAGCCUGAUGCAGCCAUGCCGCGUGUAUGAAGAAGGCCUUCGGGUUGUAAGCACUUUCAGUUGUGAGGAAGGUAGUCGCUAAUAUCGGCUAGCUGUGACGUUAGCAACAGAAGAAGCACCGGCUAACUCCGUGCCAGCAGCCGCGGUAAUACGGAGGGUGCGAGCGUUAAUCGGAAUUA